RNAcentral lists this ribosomal RNA (432 nucleotides) under uncultured bacterium. Its description in RNAcentral is "bacterial SSU rRNA". It matches the Rfam family "Bacterial small subunit ribosomal RNA", at positions 957 to 1391 of the family's 1533-position model. The record is from RNAcentral.
GAACGCGAAGAACCUUACCAGGUCUUGACAUCCUGCGCUACACCUAGAGAUAGGUGGUUCCCUUCGGGGACGCAGAGACAGGUGGUGCAUGGCUGUCGUCAGCUCGUGUCGUGAGAUGUUGGGUUAAGUCCCGCAACGAGCGCAACCCUUGUCUUUAGUUGCCAUCAUUAAGUUGGGCACUCUAAAGAGACUGCCGGUGACAAACCGGAGGAAGGUGGGGAUGACGUCAAGUCAUCAUGCCCCUUAUGACCUGGCUACACACGUGCUACAAUGGGCAGUACAACGAGAAGCGAACCCGCGAGGGUAAGCGGAUCUCUUAAAGCUGUUCUCAGUUCGGACUGCAGGCUGCAACUCGCCUGCACGAAGCUGGAAUCGCUAGUAAUCGCGGAUCAGCACGCCGCGGUGAAUACGUUCCCGGGUCUUGUACACACC